Daucus carota subsp. sativus is the source of this 2988-nucleotide long non-coding RNA. RefSeq lists it as uncharacterized. The transcript is spliced from 11 exons. The record is from RefSeq and is a predicted model, not a curated record. NCBI's taxonomy places the organism in Eukaryota, Viridiplantae, Streptophyta, Magnoliopsida, Apiales, Apiaceae.
ACGUGGAUAGUCCAUAUUCUCAUGGGCUAAUCACAUAUCUAGAAAUUAGCUAUUUUUCCUCCAUGUUCCGCUUUCUUCUCAUAAUUUAGUCAUCUUCCCAACAAAUUAAAAAUUUGAAAUCCCACGUUUUGUGGAGUCGUGAUCUCUGAAGCAGUGUGGUUUUCUUGGCCUUCCUCUUCAUCAUUCACUGAAUAACACGAAACUGCAUGUGCCAUGGCCGGUCAUGGACGCAUUCCGCCUACCCCGCCUUCUCCUUCGUCCUGCGUUACUGGUGAGCCUGUUUACUCCUACCUGGACUAUCCAUUUCUAAACGGGUUAAACACAUCUCUUAUUUGAGUGUAUUUGUGUAUUUGGAUGGAUUACCCAGAUCCUUACGGGUCAAAACCCUGUUUUUAUUUUAACCACGUAUCUAUGUUUUAACUAAUUUUGCUUCAACUGCCUGAUUUCUCUCACAUUUGUAUUAUCUUCCUAUCGAUUUGAAUUUUGAAUUCUAUUAUUGGAGACGUGAUUGGAGGCCUGCGAUCUGAGAUGAGGUUUUGCAGUGUGUUGUUCGGCUUCGUCUUCGUCUUCUGAUCAUUCACAGCACCUCGAACUUGCAUAAGACAUGUCCGGUUUGUUUUCUAACUUUGAUUGUUGUUGAAUCCGCUUUCCGGUGAGAAGUAUUACGUGAUCUCCUCCGUUCUCGGAGCAGUUACAUGCCAUAAAUGAGAGGAAUUUGUAUUCACACUUCACUCGAUUACCAUUGUUUGAUUUUGUAAUGGAACGCGGAUAAUUGAUUAUGUUAUAGGUCUAAAUUUAAGGUUGUAUUCUUCUUCUUUUUCUUGCUUUGAUUUCUCUAAUAUUAUUGUUUUUAUUUGCAAGUAUUUAGUUGAUUUUUUUACAGGUCGUAAAUGUAUUUGGUAUUCAUCUUAAACAAAAAUUACUUAUGGUGAGCCGAUGGUAAAAAAUCUGGCAAUGCUUUUGAUGCAUAUUUGCGUAUCAGAUUGGUUAAUAGCAAAAUGUUGAGGUAACAUCUCCAGGCAAUAUGGGCAUCCUGUUGUUCGCCCUCCUUUCAGCCAGAGAUCACAAUUACAAUGACGUCAAUUUGCCCGCUUAUUUCCAAAUUCUCAACGGUUGUUUCUAACAUUUUUGACACUAUGACCCAUCAUAAGUUUAAGACUAUGUUGUUUCUACCUACAUUUACUCUUUGUAAGCUCUCUGCAUCUUUUUAUAUUCAUAAUUAUGGACAAGUUUCUAUUUUGAUACGCUAUUUAUAUUGCAGUUCAUAAUCCUUAUUCUGUUGUAGGUGAAGAUUUUAUUCAUAAUAGUGUGAUUGAGGUCAUUCUGUUUAAGAUUUUACAAUUCAGCCUGUUAUUUCACAAAAAUGGUUAUUUAUUCUUUGAGGUCAUCUCUCGAAUCAUUUCCUACUUUCAUUUAUAAGUCGUCAUUUUUUUAAGUGGCAGCCAUCCCAUCUCGGUGUAACUUACAUUUUCAAGUGGCAGAAUUUGGAUCAAAGUUUAUCACCCUGGCCGCAGUGUUGUGGUGUAGCCAGAAUCAUCAAACAAUACACACAAAAGUGCUGGUGUUUCUCUCAUGAGAAGGGUGUCUCAAACACGUUCUUAACCAUAAGUAGGCUUGGAUAUACUAUGAUGCUGCUUUGGAUAAGCUAUUGUAUUAGGCAAGCUAUUGUAUUAGGCAGGUCGUUGGCUGCCGUCUUUGAUUUCUACAUAAAACUCUAAGAAUAGAUUAAAUAGUGAUUUUUACAAGUCAGAAGCGAACCCCGCUCUAUCCAUUAUCUCCAUUCUCAAUGGAAGUGACCAAGUCAAGAUAAAUAGCAGAUGAUGUGAAGAACACAAGCAGAGUUUCACAGCCAAGUUGGCGAGGAGCACACGGCUGAACAGCAACAACCAGAACAAGAGCUAUCAGCACACCGUGGUGAGUACAUUAGUGACGACAAGGAUGAAAAUGUCCAAGAAAUCCUAGAUUUGUGGAGCAAGAUGGAUCAUGUCAAAUUUGGGUUUAUAGUAAUUGAUGUGAAAUAGGUUUACUAUUGUGAUUCAUUUUACUGGCUUAAAACACCUGUUGGUGAGAGUGUUGCUCAUCCAUUUCUGUAGUUUGACAAUAAUUAGAUUGGAACAAUUACUUGGUAUCAAACAAUGGCCAAGUGCUUACUAAGAAGGUUUGUCAUUCCUCCACUUGAAUGUGUUUCAUAUCUGUUUUAGUAUACUGUUGUAGGAUAAUCUUUAUGUUUCAUUCAUUAAGCAUUUUGCCAACUCCUACUUAAGCAUUUUGCCAACUCCUACAGGAAGAAAGUGCUAAACGCCCUAAAACCAAAAACUAAAAAACAGAAGCAUGGAGUCUUUGCCUCUUUACUCUUUAGUUACAAAAUUUAGCACCAUAUGUGGCUUCUUUCUUUCUGCAAUUUUGGCGAUAUAUUAUUUUUAUAUUUAUUCUCUGUACAAAAAUUUGUACUUGGGUUUUUUGUUGGUUUCACGGCAGCUCUCAUACUUAGGCUGAUUUUGUUUGUACAAAGUCGUCAAAUUAUAGAGGAGGGCAACAAGCAGUACAUGGAAAUAACAUCUUUUAUGGGCAAGAUCAUGAAGUUGAACCGUGUACAUAGAUGGUAAACACGGAAAAAAAUUGUGAAAAAUACGAGAUUAUGUUAAUUCCAGUGUUGGUGAUAACAAUGUUGUUGAGAUUGGACAGAGUGGUGACACUCCUGUUUACCAUAAGGCUUGCAGCAAAAAAAAUAAGAUGUACAGAAACAACUGUAAAUGCCACCUUCGUUUUGCUAUGAGUGUUGUGUGAAUUAAGCAUCUUGCACAUCUUUUAUUACGACGUGCAGGAGGUCUGAGUCCUGCAACUGGUAAUGGUGUUUAGUGUUUUUCUUUUCAACUGAGUUCUCAAUGGCUUUGCGAUGGUCCGCAGAAGUUUUUCUUUGAUGUUUUUUGUUGGUUUGUUUGGACUGUUUCCACUCAUGAAUAAAACUAUAUCUUCUGAUUUUCUGAA